The sequence is a small nuclear RNA, 157 nucleotides long. Its record names the gene U2. It matches the Rfam family "U2 spliceosomal RNA". Rfam says of the family: U2 is a small nuclear RNA (snRNA) component of the spliceosome (involved in pre-mRNA splicing). Complementary binding between U2 snRNA (in an area lying towards the 5' end but 3' to hairpin I) and the branchpoint sequence (BPS) of the intron results the bulging out of an unpaired adenosine, on the BPS, which initiates a nucleophilic attack at the intronic 5' splice site, thus starting the first of two transesterification reactions that mediate splicing. The record is from Ensembl.
AUCGCUUCUCGGCCUUUUGGCUAAGAUCAAGGGUAGUAUCUGUUCUUAUCAGUAAAUAAAUCACCAUGCCAUACAGUUAAUAAACUUAAGUGUUGUGUGUGUGUGUCUUCAUAUGAAAAUCUAAUGACUGUUCGUCAAGGGCUGUAUUAGACAUUUU